ACCUAGUUUUGUCCAAAAACCCAAAAGCACAGACUCCCUUUCCCCUCCCUCCGCUUCCCUCUCCGCCAUUUCGUCGAACACCUUCUCCGAUCGCACGCCGCCGGCCAUGGCGGACGCCUCCGAGGCGGCGGCCACCGUCUCAGCGCGGCUCCUGGAGCUCGCGGCCGAAGACGACGCGGCGGCGCUCGGGGACCUCCUCGCUGCGCACCCGUCCCUCGCCGACGAGCCCGCGCCAUGGUACUCCCCGGCGCGCGGCGCGGAGCCCAUGACUCCGCUCAUGGUCGCCGCAGCGUACGGGUCCGUGUCCUGCCUCGAGGUCCUCCUCUCGCCGCCCCACCUCGUCGACCCCAACCGCGCCUCCCCGGCGUCCCUCUCCACCGCGCUCCACCUCGCCGCCGCCGGCGGGGCCUCCUCGGCGCCCGCCGCUGUCUCCCGCCUCCUCGCCGCCGGCGCCGACCCCACCUUCCUAGACCAUCUCCAACGGCGGCCAUCCGACCUCGUCGCCCUCCCACCCAACUCGCUCCCGCUCAAGAACCACCUCCUCUCCCUCCUCGGCGCCCGCAAGGAGUGGCCGCCGGACCCCUCCCUCCCCGACAUCAAGAACGGCGCCUACGCCUCCGACGACUUCCGCAUGUACUCCUUCAAAGUGCGCGCGUGCUCGCGCGCCUACUCCCACGACUGGACGGAGUGCCCCUUCGUCCAUCCCGGCGAGAACGCGCGGCGGCGGGAUCCGCGCAAGUACCACUACAGCUGCGUGCCCUGCCCGGAGUUCAAGAAGGGCGCCGGCUGCCGGAGAGGGGACAUGUGCGAAUACGCGCACGGGGUGUUCGAGAGCUGGCUCCACCCGGCGCAGUACCGGACGCGGCUGUGCAAGGACGGCGUCGGCUGUGCGCGCCGUGUCUGCUUCUUCGCGCACACGCCGGAGGAGCUCCGGCCACUGUACGUGUCGUCGGCGGGGUCGCGCAGCGCGAUGGAGAUGGCAGCGGCGAUGGGGAUGGGGCUGCCGUCGCCUGGGGCGUCGUUCACGCCGCCACUGUCGCCGUCCGGCGGCGGCACCGGCGUGGCGGGUGCGUGGCCACAGCCGAACGUGCCCGCGCUGUGCCUGCCUGGGAGCGCGGGGAACCUUCACCUGAGCCGGCUGCGCACGUCGCUGAGCGCGCGCAGCAUGGCCGUGGACGAGCUGCUCGCCUCGGCCGAAUACGAUGGCCUCGUUGGGUCACCUGCCUCAGUGCGCUCGGCGAGGGGAAAGACGCUUGUGCCUUCAAAUCUAGAUGAUCUGUUCUCUGCGGAGAUGGCGGGCGCUGCGGCAUCUCACUCCCCACGGUAUGCAGACCAGGGCGGCGCUGCUUUCUCGCCGACGCGCAAGGCUGCCAUGCGGAACCAGUUCCAGCAGCAGCAGACCUUGCUGUCUCCUCGGGCCACGGCGGCCACAAUUAUACCAGAGCCAGUGUCUCCGAUGAGCUCCCGGCUUCUCGCUGCCCUUGCGCAGCGGGAGAAGAUGCAGCAGCAGACCCUGAGAAACAUGAGUUCAAGGGACCUUGGCUCGGACGCCUCUGUGCUUGUUGGCUCACCGGUUACCUCGAGCUGGUCCAAGUGGGGAAUUCCCUCCGGCACCCCUAAUUGGGGCGCCGAUGACGAGGAGCUUGGCCGCCUCAAGCGCUCCUCAUCGUUUGAGCUCAGAAGCGGAGCCAAAGGCGAUGAGCCAGACCUCUCAUGGGUCAAUACCUUGGUGAAGGAGCCAACGCCGGAGAAACCAUCCAUCAAUGGGACAACCGCAAUAGAGUCCAUUGGCACUAUGAGUCAGGCAACAAGUCAUGAGGGUAUCGGUGGCGAUGAGGACAACACAGCCGGGGUCAUCGGCAGUUGGCUUGAGCAGCUUCAGCUGGAUGAGAUGGUAGUCUAGAACAAACACAUACAGAUCAAACAAGAAAGGUGCCAUAUUUUUUGCUGUGAUUCACCAGUUGCUGCUACUUACUGAAAUCAACUAGCCUCAUACCUUGCUAGUGAUUGCUGGUGAUACAUUCUUUUGGAGCUGGUUAGUGUAGGUGUUGAGAUUUCCACCACCAUUUAGUAUUCUUCUCCUACAAGUGAAAGAAUUGAGGAAUUGGAGCCUAGUCAAAUGCUGCAGCAAUGUCUAGUGCUGCUGUACUGUGCGUGUUUGACAUUGUGGAUGUCUGCUGGGUCAAUGCUAAUGCCGAAUGCUAAUCUCAGGUUGGCAUUGGAUUUGAUGGGUGCUGUGAUGUUAAUCUUUCCGAGGAUAAAACAACUGGUGGCGGUGGCUCGGUAUGGCCGCCUCGUGUCUUGGCUUCUGUUUGCUCCUGGUCACGGUGGUGAGUGCUGAGUCAUACAGUGACUUGGAUUUUCCGGUUCAAUGUUUGCAUUGCACCUACUCUUUGAUAUAGUUGGAAAGAAGGCCGGAUUUGUUGUUUAAUUAUUCGAUUGGAAGGUGGAGAAUGGAUAAUGGAGAUUGGAGAUGGCAAACUAGGUGACACAAUGCAGAUGUGGAUUCCACUCUCCGCGAUAACCAAUUUUACUAUGUUUGGUUGCUAAUGUGAUCCCAAUCAACUGUUGGGCCGCCUUGGUAGAUUACAAGGGUCUCUUGGUAGAUUAUAAGGGUCUCUGCAUCAACAAAUUUAUGUUUACCAUUAAAAUUUGUAAUGUACUCGUAAUUGUGAUGUAAUGUUGCUCUUACAGACAAGAGCGGAUCUAGC
This is an RNA transcript of Panicum hallii, 2711 nucleotides long. It is a transcript of the gene named zinc finger CCCH domain-containing protein 67-like, with no coding region annotated. NCBI's taxonomy places the organism in Eukaryota, Viridiplantae, Streptophyta, Magnoliopsida, Poales, Poaceae. The transcript is spliced from 5 exons. The record is from RefSeq and is a predicted model, not a curated record.